GACGAACGCUGGCGGCGUGCCUAAUACAUGCAAGUCGAACGCAUUUUCUUUCACCGUAGCUUGCUACACCGAAAGAAAAUGAGUGGCGAACGGGUGAGUAACACGUCGGUAACCUGCCCAUCAGCGGGGGAUAACACUUGGAAACAGGUGCUAAUACCGCAUAAUUCCAUUUACCGCAUGGUAGAUAGCUGAAAGGCGCUUUUGCGUCACUUAUGGAUGGACCCGCGGUGCAUUAGCUAGUUGGUGGGGUAACGGCCUACCAAGGCUGCGAUGCAUAGCCGACCUGAGAGGGUGAUCGGCCACACUGGGACUGAGACACGGCCCAGACUCCUACGGGAGGCAGCAGUAGGGAAUCUUCGGCAAUGGACGCAAGUCUGACCGAGCAACGCCGCGUGAGGGAAGAAGGUUGUCGGAUCGUAAAACUCUGUUGUUAGAAAAGAACAAGGAUGAGAGUGGAAAGUUCAUCCCUUGACGGUAUCUAACCAGAAAGCCACGGCUAACUACGUG
This 507-nucleotide ribosomal RNA is filed under the name uncultured bacterium. RNAcentral's name for it is "partial 16S ribosomal RNA". It matches the Rfam family "Bacterial small subunit ribosomal RNA", at positions 28 to 507 of the family's 1533-position model. The record is from RNAcentral.